UUUUUUUUUUUUUUUUUUUUUUUUGAGACAGAGUCUCGCUCUGUUGCCAGGCUGGAGUGCAGUGGCGUGAUCUCGGCUCACUGCAACCUCCGCCUCCCGGGUUCAAGCUAUUCUCCUGCCUCAGCCUCCCAAGUAGCUGAAACUACAGGCGCACACCACCACGCCUGGCUAAUUUUUGUAUUUUUAGUAGAGACGGGGUUUCGCCAUAUUGGCCAGGCUGGUCUUGAACUCCUGACCUCGUGAUCCACCCUCCUCGGCCUCCCAAAGUGCUGGGAUUACAGGCGUGAGCCACUGCGCCCGACCUGUAAUUUUUCUUUUCUGUUUUUUAGAGACAGGGUCUCGCUCUGUCACCCAGGCUAGAGUUCAGUGGCGCUGUCGGCUCACUGCAGCCUCCAACUCCUGGGCUCAAGUGCUGCUGCCAUCUCAGCCUCCUCAGUAGCUGGGACUACAGGUACACGCCACCACGCCCAACAGUGACAGGUUGGACACUACUGUACUGCCACGCUGGGUCGGGCAUACUAAUAAGCCCAGGGAAGAAGAGUCAGACCCAGUGCCAGCGCAGGGGAAACGCAUCUAAUCCAGAACAGCAGACACAGCUCCUCUCCCAUGGAACACCCAGAGCAGACAUUGCCAGUCGAUCCCAGCACCCUUUCCCCGGGAGCCUGGGCUCAGCCUCAAGACUUUGCUUCCGCUUCACAAAGCUCUGCACAGCCAGUUCUCAUCAAUUGGAGUUGGUCCAAAAUAUGGAAACUCUUUGCUCUGCCUGACCCAAACCAUUCCUCUUUCCCAUAACAAUUCUGACAUUUAAAAACAGCAGAAUUCCCCAACACUCAUCCCCGGGAAAAGAAAUUUGGCAUUGUUGGUACUUUCAACUCCUGACCCUGGUCAGCUGUUGAGUCAACUUGUGGUUGAGUCUGAGCCCCAUUUCUGCAGACAGAAAGACCGCAUUUGCGUUUCUGAGUCUCAGGUUUAGGAUGAAUUUUGUAUAGUCACUGUAACAAAUUACUGCAAACGUAGUGGCUUAAAAUAAAACAAAUCCAUUAGCUUACAA
Long non-coding RNA from Homo sapiens (human), 1051 nucleotides. RefSeq lists it as uncharacterized. Lineage: Eukaryota; Metazoa; Chordata; Mammalia; Primates; Hominidae. The transcript is spliced from 2 exons. The record is from RefSeq and is a predicted model, not a curated record.